AAAAAUGCACAUGCUGUGAGCUCGAUGAGUAGGGCGGGACACGUGGUAUCCUGUCUGAAUAUGGGGGGACCAUCCUCCAAGGCUAAAUACUCCUGACUGACCGAUAGUGAACCAGUACCGUGAGGGAAAGGCGAAAAGAACCCCGGCGAGGGGAGUGAAAAAGAACCUGAAACCGUGUACGUACAAGCAGUGGGAGCACGCUUAGGCGUGUGACUGCGUACCUUUUGUAUAAUGGGUCAGCGACUUAUAUUCUGUAGCAAGGUUAACCGAAUAGGGGAGCCGAAGGGAAACCGAGUCUUAACUGGGCGUUAAGUUGCAGGGUAUAGACCCGAAACCCGGUGAUCUAGCCAUGGGCAGGUUGAAGGUUGGGUAACACUAACUGGAGGACCGAACCGACUAAUGUUGAAAAAUUAGCGGAUGACUUGUGGCUGGGGGUGAAAGGCCAAUCAAACCGGGAGAUAGCUGGUUCUCCCCGAAAGCUAUUUAGGUAGCGCCUCGUGAAUUCAUCUCCGGGGGUAGAGCACUGUUUCGGCAAGGGGGUCAUCCCGACUUACCAACCCGAUGCAAACUGCGAAUACCGGAGAAUGUUAUCACGGGAGACACACGGCGGGUGCUAACGUCCGUCGUGAAGAGGGAAACAACCCAGACCGCCAGCUAAGGUCCCAAAGUCAUGGUUAAGUGGGAAACGAUGUGGGAAGGCCCAGACAGCCAGGAUGUUGGCUUAGAAGCAGCCAUCAUUUAAAGAAAGCGUAAUAGCUCACUGGUCGAGUCGGCCUGCGCGGAAGAUGUAACGGGGCUAAACCAUGCAC
Molecule: ribosomal RNA, 809 nt
Filed under: Escherichia coli
Lineage: Bacteria; Pseudomonadati; Pseudomonadota; Gammaproteobacteria; Enterobacterales; Enterobacteriaceae
Description: partial 23S ribosomal RNA
Rfam family: Bacterial large subunit ribosomal RNA
Source: RNAcentral